This 778-nucleotide ribosomal RNA is filed under the name uncultured bacterium. Its description in RNAcentral is "bacterial SSU rRNA". It matches the Rfam family "Bacterial small subunit ribosomal RNA", at positions 63 to 858 of the family's 1533-position model. The record is from RNAcentral.
CGAGCGGUAGGCGUCCCUUCGGGGGCGCCGAGAGCGGCGAACGGCGGAGUAACACGUGGGUAACCUGCCCCGAAGACUGGGACAACCCGGGGAAACUCGGGCUAAUACCGGAUGUGGAUGGCUUGGCUUCGGCUGGGUCAUCUAAAAGGUUUUCCGCUUCGGGAUGGGCCCGCGACCUAUCAGGUAGUUGGUGAGGUAACGGCUCACCAAGCCUACGACGGGUAGCCGGUCUGAGAGGAUGAUCGGCCCGAGGGGCACUGAGACACGGGCCCCACUCCUACGGGAGGCAGCAGUCGGGAAUUUUGGGCAAUGGGCGAAAGCCUGACCCAGCGACGCCGCGUGGAGGACGAAGCCCUUCGGGGUGUAAACUCCUUUUAGUGGGGACGAACGCAGACGGUACCCACAGAAAAAGCCCCGGCUAACUACGUGCCAGCAGCCGCGGUAAUACGUAGGGGGCGAGCGUUGCCCGAAUUUACUGGGCGCAAAGCGCACGUAGGCGGCUCCGUAAGUCUGGUGUGAAAUCUCACGGCUCAACCGGGAGGCUGCACCAGAUACUGCGGAGCUCGAGGGCGGGAGAGGAGAUUGGAAUUCCCGGUGUAGCGGUGAAAUGCAUUGAUAUCGGGAGGAACACCAGUGGCGAAGGCGGAUCUCUGGCCCGCUUCUGACGCUGAGGUGCGAAAGCUGGGGGAGCGAAAGGGAUUAGAUACCCCUGUAGUCCCAGCCCUAAACGAUGGGCGCUAGGUGUUGGGGGAUUAACUCUCAGCGCCGUAGCUAACGC